RNAcentral lists this transfer RNA (73 nucleotides) under Trichonephila inaurata madagascariensis. It matches the Rfam family "tRNA". From Rfam's summary of the family: Transfer RNA (tRNA) molecules are approximately 80 nucleotides in length. Their secondary structure includes four short double-helical elements and three loops (D, anti-codon, and T loops). The record is from Rfam by way of RNAcentral. Lineage: Eukaryota; Metazoa; Arthropoda; Arachnida; Araneae; Nephilidae.
GUCCCUGUAGCACAAUGGAUAACACAUUGGACUUCUUAUCCAAAGGUCGUGGAUUUGAAUUCCAUCUGGGAUG